Molecule: long non-coding RNA, 1112 nt
Filed under: Zalophus californianus (California sea lion)
Lineage: Eukaryota; Metazoa; Chordata; Mammalia; Carnivora; Otariidae
Description: lncRNA (ENSZCAG00015019872.1)
Source: RNAcentral
GGCACCGUAGACUAGACUGCUUAUCCUCUGCCGCCAUUUUCUCUGCUGCCUCCACCACCUCACAGCAGACGCCGCUGCCAACAGCCUCAGCUCCACAGCAAUCCUCUUGGCAAAGCCACCUUUGUCAAGCAGCCAGAUAACUUCUCUGGUUGAGGUACUGACUGGUGUAUCUCUUCUGCCAUGUCUGCUACAGAGAAUCAAGGUCCAAUCCCAGGUGGCCAGAAGGAAGCCAGUGGUGGGGUGGGCCAGGACCCUGGAUCCAUCAGGGGCGGUGCAGUGCCUGCAGAAUGGGGGGCUGGAGUCGCAAGGGCCGCAGUCCCUAGGGAUUUCCAGGCAGUUGCUCAAGAUCUUUGGGAGGAGGGUAGGCAGGGGGAUGCUCAGCCUGUAAUCCAGGGAAACUGGGAUGUACAGCAAGUAGAAGAGGAGGAGGGGGCAGAAGAAGAGGAGGAGGAAGUUGAGGAGGAGGAGGACGACGAAGAAGAGGAAGAGGAGGAGGAGGAGGAUAAAGAAGGAGAAGGAGGGGGAGAAGAGGAAGGAGGGGAUGAGGGGGGCAGAGAAGGGGAAGAGAAUGAGGAAGAGGAGGAAUAUGAGGAGGAGGACAAUGAAGAAGAGGAGGAUGACGACAGCUUUGAGGAAGAGGAUGAGAAUUACAUGGACAAAGAGGAAGAAGAGACCGAUACUCCUGAGGGCAGAGUACUGGAUGCCAUUACUGAUUUUAAAUUGGGAUAUUUUUUCUGCCACCUUCUGGUCCUAAAGUCCACAUUAUUCUUCACUAAAGAAGCAACUGAAUAUCAGUAUGAAAACUCUGAUGAAGAGGCCCAAAAAGCUGGAGGAGAGGAGAAGGAAGUGGAUGAGGAUGAAAAUGAAGAACCAGAAGAAAGAAAAUGGAUAUGGACUCAGCAGAGGGCGGCUGUGUAGAAUUCAGUUGGAAGGCACAGAACAAAAUGGAUGGCGAAAGAAGAAAUGAAUUUAUUCUUCACAGAUAUUCUAGUUUUCAAGUCCAAACCACUAGUUUUGUUUCAAAAUGAUAUUAACUGACAUCUGACUCUACUCUUACCUUUUACAGAUAUAUUUGACAGCAUUUGUUUACAUUAAAAAUAAAAGUUUGUUUG